This 73-nucleotide transfer RNA is filed under the name Ilumatobacteraceae bacterium. RNAcentral's name for it is "tRNA-Pro". It matches the Rfam family "tRNA". Rfam says of the family: Transfer RNA (tRNA) molecules are approximately 80 nucleotides in length. The record is from RNAcentral. RNAcentral also lists the same sequence under 1 other name. Lineage: Bacteria; Bacillati; Actinomycetota; Acidimicrobiia; Acidimicrobiales; Ilumatobacteraceae.
CGGGGUGUGGCGCAGCUUGGUAGCGCGCGUCGUUCGGGACGACGAGGCCGCAGGUUCAAAUCCUGUCACCCCG